This is a long non-coding RNA of Balaenoptera musculus (blue whale), 2616 nucleotides long. RefSeq lists it as uncharacterized. The transcript is spliced from 5 exons. Lineage: Eukaryota; Metazoa; Chordata; Mammalia; Artiodactyla; Balaenopteridae. The record is from RefSeq and is a predicted model, not a curated record.
GUCUGCCUCGGGUCUUCCCGGCGCGGCGGAGGGGAAUGUGGCAGCGCUGUGGUCCGCCAACUAGGCGUGACGGCGUGUGCGGGGCGAGAAUGCUUUUUUGGGACGAGGGCCCGUGGUGCCAGUGAGGUCCCCACAGGAGUGCGGUCCGGGACCCCGAAACGCUUGCGAACCGAUGGUCGGGCUGAGACCCGUGACCCCCGCGAGGGCUGGAGCAGCCGACCGUGAACCGGAAGGGGCGGGGCUGGGGCGGCCGUGGGCACCAGCUCCGGAGCGGCAGUGACUUGCCGCUGCUUCCCCCGGGACUCUCAGGACCAUUGCCACUUGAAGCCAAGGGGAAGAGGGAGGGUGUCCUCUGUGGGGGCCAGGCUUUGCAUAGAGUGACUCGGGAGUGGUGGCGGUCUGGGAAAGGUCACCACCCUUUGAUCCAGUCCUGGGGCAGACACUUAACCUGGUCAGUGCCCUCCCCCGCCAGUUUGCAGGUUAGAAAACUGAGCCUCUAGUUGGUUAAACUAUCAAGGCCAAAAUUAUCCUGCCAGUGGUGAAAGAAGUUGGGAUUUGGAUGCAAGUCUGGUUUCAAAGACUGAUCUUUUCCUCUUCACAGUGGAACUCGAGAGAGAAAAGAUUUGGGACCAGGAGCGUAGUCUGCCCUUUUCCUCUUAAGCAAUACUCCCAAGGUCUUAUCAGCUCAAACUUUCAUUCCUGCUUUCAUUUCUUCAACAGCUGUAGAGCACCUAUGACGUGAGCGCUGGGGCAGCAGGGGUCAUGGAGCUUCCAUUCCAGCAAGGGGGGAGAGCAUUCUCAGUGCUGAGACAGAGUAGAAAGAACAUGCGGUAUAGAGCAUGGCUGGGUAAUGAAGCCCACUUCAGUGGGUAGACAGGAGGGAGGGGACAGUUGAGUUGUCACUUGAUGAUAGGGAUGCAGCCCUGAGAGGACAGGACAGAGAGUUUCAGGCAGAGGAAGACCUUGGAGUCACGUGAGUCAGCUUCACCCAUCUGGGCCAGUCCUUCAGGGGAGGGGACGCUGUGGAGGUAGUUGGUGCUCCAGGCUGAGGUCUGGCUCCAUACUGUGAACCCAUCUCAGCUCCAGCCAGGGAGCACCUGGCCUGGCCUUUGGGGACUUUGGAGCUCCUCCCCUCACCUGUCUUCAGUGAAAUGGAAAUCAGGUGCAGGCAGCCCAACUUCUCAUCUGACUUCUCUCUAAAUAAGCGGAGAGCCUUUUCGACACAGUCGAUGCGCACACGUCAUGGUGACAGGUACAUCUUGUGGGUUCAUAACUGCCUUACUGCGGAAACCAGCAGGAGAUGGACCAGGUUGUUUGCUGUUUCUGGCUACUUGAGCUUGUGUUAUUUUGAACCAGGUCUAAAUCCUUCUUUGCCUGCUCUGUGAUGAUGGAGGUGGGCUGUGGAAAUAUUUCACCUGUGACAUUUGGUAUGAUGUAAUGCCAGUAGAGGAGGCUGGAAGGACAGUGAGAAAGGAAGGAAUUUCCUCUUCCUGUUUCCCGAGUCCUGCAGGGUGCAGGGUCUCCUGCACUGGCCUCCUACAGGGUGCAGCUUUCUCCGUUGCCUGGCUCCUGCAGAGGGCAGCUUCCCCAGCGCCCAGUUCUGGUAGCUCAGGGCAACCAGCAGAGCCCAGCUGCUAGAAGCUUCCCUCAGAACUUUCUCAAAGUGACGUGCCACUGGCAAGGCACCUGACUGUGAACGGCUUCUUUGAGCAUCCCUCAGUUGACUUUGCAGCAACUUCCAAGGUCAUUUAAACAAAUUUUUAAAAAUUCCCUUUAACAAUAAAGAGGAAACCAAGGAUGCAGAUUAUGGCAAGAACAUAGUCAAGAUGAGGAAAUUGAGGCCCAGAGAGGUGAAGCGACAGGACGCCAGGAGCAUGCAGCUAGUCGUGGCAGGCCUGGCACUGGAAUCCAGGGGUUCCGCCGGGUGCCCCGUCAGCUGCCCAGCCCGGGAACUAGACAACUCCUCUCCCUGCCCUCCCCACUCCACCCCGGAAGGCACCCUGGGAACGGAAAGCUGGCUGCCCUCCAAGUCCCAGGAGCCCCGGAGUCCUGGAGCCCUGCCCUCGCUCCACCCUCCCCCAUCCCCAGAACAAAGUACACUCGGCCGCGGGAACAUUCCAGCCCCCAGAAGGCCAGGCGGGGCGGCGGCCGGGCUCCCGGAGCUGAGCUGGACGUCUGCGGCCCCGGCCCAGCCCCGCGGUGCCCCUGCCCGGCGCCCUCCCGGCUUCUGCGCCAGCCGAGUGUGCAGACGCAAUUGCACCGGAGGAAUUCUGCCUUCUCUUCCCUCACCGCCGGGACACAAAACUGAAAAGGCGUGGGACGCGGUGGGCGGAGCAGAUGCCGAGCAGGGCGCUGGUCCCCGCGGGCGCCGAGCGGGAGCCGAGUUCUCGGCGGCGCCAGCGCUGGGCAGAGCUGGCUCCGGGGCGCACUGGGCCCCCUGCCUCACUUUACUUCUUUAUAAGAAAUUAACGCAUGCUUUUGUUAAAAGAAAAAAAAGGACAAGUAGAACUAGGAGAAAGCUCUCCAUUCAUCCUACCACUCUGAGACAACUGCGAUUAAAUUUGGUUGUGUCCUUGCAGACAGUUCUAUGCACAAAAACACAAGUUGUAUAUUGAC